GUGGACUAAAUAUGAUUUCUUUUUAAGAAGGUGAAAAAACGCACUGUUUCGUUUUUUGCCGGCGACAUUUUACGCCUUUCCGAAAAUUUCCGACAUUUCAUCUUCUCAAAUGGCAUUCUCCGUCCGUCAUCUGCUUUCUCCCACCUCCGUCUCAGCGGUGUAUCUCGGCCCUCUCCCUGUUAUUGGUCUCCCUCUUCACUGUCAUUUGCAUAUGUCGGACCUAAGAGGCCGAGGCAAGGCAAUGGUUCGGGCUAUGGAGCCCUUGGAACUAAUCAACAGGGAAAGGAUUGUAGCAUAGAAAAGAUCCAGGAAGAAGUUUCUAAAGAAACAAGAGAAAGUAGUGAUGAGUACUGAGAAAAAACAGGGGGUGCUGCAAGUGUUCUUUCAGAAAUGGAGUCCGAAGUUGUACUUAACCAGACCUUCUGUAACAAAUAGAUGGUUACUAUAAGAUGAAAUGGUCAUCUUCCUCAUUACGCUGUACCAGAGAGAAAAAUAGAAGUGGGCAAAUCUACACAAAGACUUGAGACACAAUGACAAGGAAUCUUGCUUCCAUCAUUGUCAUGUGCCUGUCCGAACAGAAAUCUAUGAGAAGUAUAUAAUCAAAUGGCAUUCUUGCAGGCUUGCAGUUCUUUUUCUUAGAAUGCAUGCUCUCCAUGCUUCACAAAUGAGCUUACUAUCUGUCAAUGUAAUGUGUAGUUUAGUAAUAAGAAGAUCUAGUAAAUCUGCAAAACAUGUAAUAGUCAAAUAAGAACUAGGAUGUGGGUCAGGUGAUUUAAAUUUUUCUCUGAUGAAGGUGAUGAGAUUGACAUGGACAGGGGUGGACGGUGGGCAGGGCUGGCAGGGGCCAUGGCCACCCCUCAGAUUUUUUAAAAAAAAAAAUUUACAUGUAAAUUUUAAAAAUGUUAGUUUAACUGUUUAAUCUAUAUAAAAAUUUUGAAAAAAUAUAUCUCGGCCCCGAAACUAUAGUUUUGUUUCUGCAACGAAAAACUCAUAGCUCUGCACUGGACAUGGACAGAUUCAUUUCUCACUGUGCCCCUUCAUCAGUAGCCAGAGCACAUUUUCUCAUGCUGCAUUAGUUGGUUUUCUUGUUACUUUCUGUCGAGGUGUACAAAUUUCUACUUCCCUCUGUUGUUCUUAUUACCUAACAUUGACUUUUACCAUUCUGGAUGUUUAGCUGGUAUCUUCUCAUUUUUGUUUUCCUUUUUCUUGGAA
Nymphaea colorata (pocket water lily) is the source of this 1212-nucleotide RNA transcript. RefSeq lists it as uncharacterized. The transcript has 4 exons. The record is from RefSeq and is a predicted model, not a curated record. NCBI's taxonomy places the organism in Eukaryota, Viridiplantae, Streptophyta, Magnoliopsida, Nymphaeales, Nymphaeaceae.